UACGGAGGGUGCAAGCGUUAUCCGGAUUCACUGGGUUUAAAGGGAGCGCAGGCGGCUUUGUAAGUCAGUGGUGAAAGGCUUAAGCUUAACUUGGGAACUGCCAUUGAUACUAUAAGUCUUGAAUGUUGUUGAGGUUUGCGGAAUGGGUCAUGUAGCGGUGAAAUGCAUAGAUAUGACCCGGAACACCUAUUGCGAAGGCAGCAGGCUAAACAAAUAUUGACGCUGAGGCUCGAAAGCGUGGGGAUCAAACAGG
Molecule: ribosomal RNA, 253 nt
Filed under: uncultured bacterium
Lineage: Bacteria
Description: partial 16S ribosomal RNA
Rfam family: Bacterial small subunit ribosomal RNA
Source: RNAcentral